RNAcentral lists this ribosomal RNA (439 nucleotides) under uncultured bacterium. Its description in RNAcentral is "partial 16S ribosomal RNA". It matches the Rfam family "Bacterial small subunit ribosomal RNA", at positions 339 to 795 of the family's 1533-position model. The record is from RNAcentral.
CUACGGGUUGCUGCAGUAGGGAAUAUUGGACAAUGGGCGAAAGCCUGAUCCAGCAACACCGCGUGCACGAUGACGGCCUUCGGGUUGUAAAGUGCUUUAGAGGGGAUGAGAAAGGACAGUAUCCUCUGAAUAAGCCUCGGCGAACUACGUGCCAGCAGCCGCGGUAAAACAUAGGAGGCAAGCGUUAGCCGGAUUUAUUGGGCGUAAAGCGCGUGCAGGCGGUCUAGCAAGUUGGAUGUGAAAGCUCCCGGCUCAACUGGGGGAGGUCGUUCAAUACUGUUAGACUAGAGAAUAGGAGAGGGAGGUGGAAUUCCGGGUGUAGUGGUGAAAUGCGUAGAUAUCCGGAGGAACACCAGUGGCGAAAGCGGCCUCCUGGACUAUUUCUGACGCUAAGACGCGAAAGCUAGGGUAGCAAACGGGAUUAGAUACCCUAGUAGUC